Molecule: ribosomal RNA, 457 nt
Filed under: uncultured bacterium
Lineage: Bacteria
Description: bacterial SSU rRNA
Rfam family: Bacterial small subunit ribosomal RNA
Source: RNAcentral
UACGGAAGGCAGCAGUGGGGAAUAUUGCACAAUGGGCGAAAGCCUGAUGCAGCUAUGCCGCGUGUAUGAAGAAGGCCUUAGGGUUGUAAAGUACUUUCAUCGGGGAGGAAAAAACAAAACUAAUAAUUUUAUUUCUUGACGUUACCCGAAAAAGAAGCACCGGCUAACUCCGUGCCAGCAGCCGCGGUAAUACGGAGGGUGCUAGCGUUAAUCAGAAUUACUGGGCGUAAAGAGCACGUAGGUGGUUUUUUUAAAGUCAGAUGUGAAAUCCCUGGGCUUAACCUAGGAACUGCAUUUUGAAACUGAAAUACUAGAGUAUCGUAGAGGGAGGUAGAAUUCUAGGUGUAGCGGUAAAAUGCGUAGAUAUCUGGAGGAAUACCUGUGGCGAAAGCGGCCUCCUAAACGAAUACUGACACUGAGGUGCGAAAGCGUGGGGAGCAAACAGGGAUUAGAUACC